Long non-coding RNA from Myxocyprinus asiaticus (Chinese sucker), 427 nucleotides. RefSeq lists it as uncharacterized. The record is from RefSeq and is a predicted model, not a curated record. NCBI's taxonomy places the organism in Eukaryota, Metazoa, Chordata, Actinopteri, Cypriniformes, Catostomidae. The transcript is spliced from 3 exons.
UAUCUUAUUUAAACAAGCGGCAUAAAAGUGCAGCUCCUAUCUUCUUGAAUGUGUAGAGACCGAAAUCUCCAAAACGGCUGGUUCAGCAAAUGCGCAUGCGCAUUCUCGAAUUCACUGGCGAGAUGGGUGAAAGGUGCCAUGCGUUGUUCUUGGCAGGCUAUUCAGCCUUACAGGCUCCUCGUGGAAAGGAACAGGGCGGGGAUGGGGUUAGGACGUCUGCUGCCUCCAAGGAACAAACUGCACCUUUGUACAACAAGCAGUUGACUGGCUGGCUAUGUCUGUAUCUAAAAGGUCUCUGUCCCUGUCGCCACCGCUGGAGGAACCACUGGAGCUGUACAGUGAGCAACACUAGGCUAUCCUGGUUAUAUCCUUCAUUCUCGAGAGGAAUUCUGAGAUGAACAGUAUUUCCUUCUUCUGGGCAUUCCUG